This 280-nucleotide ribosomal RNA is filed under the name uncultured bacterium. RNAcentral describes it as "partial 16S ribosomal RNA". It matches the Rfam family "Bacterial small subunit ribosomal RNA", at positions 506 to 784 of the family's 1533-position model. The record is from RNAcentral.
UGCCAGCCGCCGCGGUAACACGUAGGCACCAAGCGUUAUCCGGAUUUAUUGGGCGUAAAGAGCUCGUAGGCGGUUCGGUAAGUCGGGUGUGAAAACUCUGAGCUCAACUCAGAGAGGCCACCCGAUACUGCUGUGACUAGAGUGCGGUAGGGGAGCGGGGAAUUCAUGGUGUAGCGGUGAAAUGCGCAGAUAUCAUGAGGAACACCAGUGGCGAAGGCGGCUCCCUGGCCAAAGACUGACGCUCAUGUGCGAAAGUGUGGGUAGCGAACAGGAUUAGAUA